RNAcentral lists this ribosomal RNA (460 nucleotides) under uncultured bacterium. RNAcentral's name for it is "partial 16S ribosomal RNA". It matches the Rfam family "Bacterial small subunit ribosomal RNA", at positions 338 to 795 of the family's 1533-position model. The record is from RNAcentral.
CCUACGGGUGGCAGCAGUGAGGAAUAUUGGUCAAUGGGCGCGAGCCUGAACCAGCCAAGUCGCGUGAAGGAAGACUGCCCUACGGGUUGUAAACUUCUUUUAUAAAGGAAUAAAGUGAGGCACGCGUGCCUUUUUGUAUGUACUUUAUGAAUUAGGCUCGGCCAACUCCGUGCCAGCGGCCGCGGUAAUACGGAGGAUGCGAGCGUUAUCCGGAGUUAUUGGGGUUAAAGGGAGCGUAGAUGGGGUGUUAAGUCAGUUGUGAAAGUUUGCGGCUCAACCGUAAAAUUGCUAUUGAUACGGGGAGCCUUGAGUACAGUGGAGGUAGGCGGAAUUCGGGGUGUAGCGGUGAAAUGCGUAGAUAUCAAGAAGAAAUCCGGUUGCGAAGGCAGCUUACUAAACUGCCACUGACAUUGAUGCUCGAAAGUGUGGGGAUCAAACAGGAUUAGAUAACCGAGUAGGC